Scylla paramamosain (green mud crab) is the source of this 496-nucleotide long non-coding RNA. RefSeq lists it as uncharacterized. The transcript is spliced from 3 exons. The record is from RefSeq and is a predicted model, not a curated record. NCBI's taxonomy places the organism in Eukaryota, Metazoa, Arthropoda, Malacostraca, Decapoda, Portunidae.
ACACGCUCCACAUUACACAAGCUCUCGUCUUCACCUCCAUUCAUUUCAGCCAGACGACGCGAGGAGGAAAGUGCGGGAGACUGGAAUGAAGCGACUGGAGAGUUAUGAAGGAUGAUGCCGCCGAAGUCCCGAGCGGCUUCGAGACAAGGAAGAGAAGCUCCGCGACUCACUUGAGCCAGUCAGUCAGUGCUGUGACACAAGGAGCAGCUUUCUCAGCGACGGGGAGCGGUGGACGGCGGAUGAAUACUUCGGCUCCCGCGCCUUCUUCUGCAUCAUGUCCGACCCUCUGACCCUGGUGGUGGGCGACCUGCGUCAGAGGAGUUGAAAAUGUAGGGGACUCGCUGCUGUGCCCUGCGUGUAGCUGUGAGGUGAAGUACAGACGGCUGCAUUGUCUCAGCCUCGGAGGUGCCACUUGUUCAAAUUACGAAUGGUUUAAUGUUAUUUUUUGCAGGCUGUGGAAUAUUGCAGUAUCUUAUAACAAGACAAAUGAUAUAAA